This 216-nucleotide unclassified non-coding RNA is filed under the name Ascomycota sp. Its description in RNAcentral is "partial contains small subunit ribosomal RNA, internal transcribed spacer 1, and 5.8S ribosomal RNA". The stretch from base 1 to 46 matches the Rfam family "Eukaryotic small subunit ribosomal RNA", at positions 1786 to 1831 of the family's 1831-position model. Lineage: Eukaryota; Fungi; Ascomycota. The record is from RNAcentral.
AAGUCGUAACAAGGUUUCCGUUGGUGAACCAGCGGAAGGAUCAUUACAGAGAUCAUGCCCUUCGGGGUAGACCUCCCACCCUGUGUUAUUUACGUAUGUUGCUUUGGCGGGCCCCCCUCGGGGUGUGCCCGCCGAAGGACCCCCAACUCUGUGUUUAGUGUCGUCUGAGUACAAUCAAAUAAGUUAAAACUUUCAACAACGGAUCUCUUGGUUCUG